This 406-nucleotide ribosomal RNA is filed under the name uncultured Actinomycetes bacterium. RNAcentral describes it as "SSU rRNA". It matches the Rfam family "Bacterial small subunit ribosomal RNA", at positions 242 to 660 of the family's 1533-position model. The record is from RNAcentral. Lineage: Bacteria; Bacillati; Actinomycetota; Actinomycetes.
CAGCUUGUUGGUGAGGUAAUGGCUCACCAAGGCGACGACGGGUAGCCGGCCUGAGAGGGUGACCGGCCACACUGGGACUGAGACACGGCCCAGACUCCUACGGGAGGCAGCAGUGGGGAAUAUUGCACAAUGGGCGCAAGCCUGAUGCAGCGACGCCGCGUGAGGGAUGACGGCCUUCGGGUUGUAAACCUCUUUCAGUAGGGAAGAAGCGAAAGUGACGGUACCUGCAGAAGAAGCGCCGGCUAACUACGUGCCAGCAGCCGCGGUAAUACGUAGGGCGCAAGCGUUAUCCGGAAUUAUUGGGCGUAAAGAGCUCGUAGGCGGUUUGUCGCGUCUGCCGUGAAAGUCCGGGGCUCAACUCCGGAUCUGCGGUGGGUACGGGCAGACUAGAGUGAUGUAGGGGAGA